CUGGGUAUAGCUCAGUGGUAGAGCACCCACCUGCUUUGCAUGCAUAAGGCCCUAGGUUCAAUCCCUAGAACCAGA
Molecule: transfer RNA, 75 nt
Filed under: Marmota marmota marmota (Alpine marmot)
Lineage: Eukaryota; Metazoa; Chordata; Mammalia; Rodentia; Sciuridae
Also listed under: 1 other name
Rfam family: tRNA
About the family: Transfer RNA (tRNA) molecules are approximately 80 nucleotides in length.
Source: Rfam by way of RNAcentral